Molecule: ribosomal RNA, 467 nt
Filed under: uncultured bacterium
Lineage: Bacteria
Description: partial 16S ribosomal RNA
Rfam family: Bacterial small subunit ribosomal RNA
Source: RNAcentral
ACGAACGCUGGCGGCGUGCUUAACACAUGCAAGUCGAACGGAAAGGCCCUGCUUUUGUGUGGUGCUCGAGUGGCGAACGGGUGAGUAACACGUGAGUAACCUGCCCUUGACUUUGGGAUAACUUCAGGAAACUGGGGCUAAUACCGGAUAGGAGCUCCUGCUGCAUGGUGGGGGUUGGAAAGUUUCGGCGGUUGGGGAUGGACUCGCGGCUUAUCAGCUUGUUGGUGGGGUAGUGGCUUACCAAGGCUUUGACGGGUAGCCAGCCUGAGAGGGUGACCGGCCACAUUGGGACUGAGAUACGGCCCAGACUCCUACGGGAGGCAGCAGUGGGGAAUAUUGCACAAUGGGCGGAAGCCUGAUGCAGCAACGCCGCGUGCGGGAUGACGGCCUUCGGGUUGUAAACCGCUUUCGCCUGUGACGAAGCGUGAGUGACGGUAAUGGGUAAAGAAGCACCGGCUAACUACGUG